AGGCAACCCAGGAAUGUAGCAGUGUAUUCAUUAACAGCUCAAAGAGGUAAUGCUGAUGAGCUAAGUCUUGAUCUAAUUCCAAGUGGUUAUUUUGGAAACUGUGUUCAGAUAUUGAAAAUGUAACCUAUACUCUUUGGGUCCCAGACAGGUCACAUGAUUCAGUUACUCAUGAUCAUGUUUUUUUUUCAGUGGUACCCAGGAGGUAACCUCUAGUGCAUUGGAGAAAGAAAGCUACAUGAAGUACUUAAAAAAUCAAUAAACUUUUUAAAAAAAGGAAAUAAAUCUUUAAGUAUUAGCAAAGUAAUAAGAAGGAUUCUUUUGGGGAGGAGGAUUGUUGCAGAAUGAGACAGGUCAGGUGCUUUGACAUUCAGGUGAUGUAAUUCAUGUCUACUAAAGCUGAACCCACGAUGUCAUCAUCCUUUCGCUGAACAGAAGCUCAACUAACAGUGCAGCCGCAACUCCCAGCUCUGUCUUUUAAAGCAACUGUUUCCAGGCACACAAGCAAUGUCCAAGUGUACCUUUUGAUCCUUAACUUCCCCUGUAUUCUUUUUGGUGAAAGGACACAAAGGAUAAUGGUGAUUGGGAUGUGCUGAAUUCCUUCCUCCUGCCUACUGGAAAUGUGGUUCACAAUUCUCUUCACAAUUCUCUGUUAAACUGGCAGUGGCCGAUCAAAAUGUUGGUGCAUUAAUGUGAUCUGAAGUAUGGUAAGUUGGCUGAUAGCAGAAAUGAGGCAAGCUUAGAAGUGCAGUGUGAAACAUGUUAUCAAUAUUCAG
Molecule: long non-coding RNA, 773 nt
Filed under: Crocodylus porosus (Australian saltwater crocodile)
Lineage: Eukaryota; Metazoa; Chordata; Crocodylia; Crocodylidae
Description: lncRNA (ENSCPRG00005003120.1)
Source: RNAcentral